UUCACACACACGUGUUGAGGGGGCUUCUUCCCCAAAUUCCUCACCCGACACUCACAUUUUCCAGAUUCCAAAAGAUACCGAGAAAACCGGAGGAGAGAGAGGGUGGGGGGAGAUCAGAGAAGAGAUGGGAGAGAGACACGAGGUAGGUUGCUGCCACACCUACAGCGGCAGCGAGGGUGGUUAAACCAUCGGAAUCAGGGUCCACCGCACAUGGUGGCGGGGUUUAUGAAUUUCAGCAAUCAAGCGACGUUAGGGUGUGGGUCACCAGCGACGACAUGGGGUUCCGGUGAUGAACCAGGAGCUCUAGUUAAGACUGUGAGAUUAUGGUGCAUGUGGCGAUUUAUUUGCACAAUUAAUCUCUUAUAAUAGGCAAAGGAAAUGAGAAGUGAAUGUGCUGUUGUUGUUGCUGCGUGAUUGGGCCUAUUUGGCGGUGUUAGCAUCAUCAUGGUUCCCAACACCGCCAAACACACAUCCAUAACCUCUUCUUCUCUGUAUUGAAAGAGAGAGAGAGAGAUUGGAGUGAGAUUGACGACAAUGGUGGGAUCCGGUCGAUGACAAAGGGUUUUAGGGUUUGGAGGAGUGUCAGCAAACGAGGAUAACAUAGAUGCUGAUGAUGGUUUUGAUUCUCGAUUUCCAGCCAAAUUAAGGUUCCGGCGAGGUUGGCGGUGGUGCAUCCGGCCAAUUUCUAGGGUUUCUGUGGUUAUCCUAAAAGUCAUACUGAUUGCAUAUCAGUUAUCACACCGCACUAUUCAAACCCACCAACCACCAAAAUCUUCAAAAAUUUCAAUGGAGCUUUAACAAUGGUCUGAUUCAAGGGUGUUUUCUUUGGGUUGUUUGGGCAAACUAGCAGAUAAGGAUGAUAAGUUGCCGGGAGUGUACAAUGGUUACUUGAUUGUUAAAUGUUAAGUUCAGUCUUAUCGCAUUGGAUUUUAGGGGGUUUCGCAACGGCAUUUGCGGCCAUUAUCUUUAUUUGGUCCACAUCGACAUUCUCAUAGAACAAAAAAGGGACAACAUGUGAACACGUGUAAAAUUUCUAAUUUUUUUUUGAACCGCCAACAAACUCAAUCCUAAGCACUUUCGGGGCACCCACUGGACAAACGGAGUACUCCGAGAGUAACCCGAGUCCACCACCAAUUCCAGGGAAAAUCCGGU
Long non-coding RNA from Helianthus annuus (common sunflower), 1152 nucleotides. RefSeq lists it as uncharacterized. The record is from RefSeq and is a predicted model, not a curated record. The transcript is spliced from 3 exons. Lineage: Eukaryota; Viridiplantae; Streptophyta; Magnoliopsida; Asterales; Asteraceae.